CCCUUAGACGUUCUGGGCCGCACGCGCGCUACACUGUUCGACGCAGCGAGUCUUAACCUUGACCGAAAGGUUUGGGUAAUCUUCAGCAAAGUCGAACGUGAUGGGGAUCGAUCAUUGCAAUUAUUGAUCGUGAACGAGGAAUUCCUAGUAAGUGCAAGUCAUCAGCUUGCGCUGAUUACGUCCCUGCCCUUUGUACACACCGCCCGUCGCUACUACCGAUUGAAUGGUUUAGUGAGAUCUCUGGAUUGACGCUGGCUAGGGGGCGACCCUUGGCCAGACUGUUGAGAAACUGCUCAAACUUGAUCAUUUAGAGGAAGUAAAAGUCGUAACA
RNAcentral lists this ribosomal RNA (331 nucleotides) under uncultured eukaryote. Its description in RNAcentral is "partial 18S ribosomal RNA". It matches the Rfam family "Eukaryotic small subunit ribosomal RNA", at positions 1470 to 1796 of the family's 1831-position model. The record is from RNAcentral.